Molecule: long non-coding RNA, 3069 nt
Filed under: Homo sapiens (human)
Lineage: Eukaryota; Metazoa; Chordata; Mammalia; Primates; Hominidae
Description: HSALNT0336538
Source: RNAcentral
AGGGUUUCACCUCUGUCACCCUAGGCUGGAUGCAGUGGCACAAUCAUGGUUUACCGCAGCAUCAAUCUUCCAGAAUCAUGUGAUCCUCCCACCUCAGCUUCCCAAGUAGCUGGAACUACAGGCGCCUGCCACCAUGCGUGGCUAAUUUUUGUAUUUUUUGUAGAGACAAGAAUUUUGCCAUGUUGCUCAGGCUGGUCUCGAAUUCUUGGGCUUAAGCCAUCCACCUGCCUUGGCCUCCCAAAGUGUUAGGAUUACAGGCGUGGGCCAUCGCGCCUGGCCUAAAUUGUCUUUUUUCAAUAGUCUCCUGAUUAUGAGGUUGUGUUUUGUCUGACCAAUGUCAAGUACAGAGCCUGGCACCAUGUAGACAUCUACUAAGUAUUAUCUGCUAUUUUUUUUUUAUCUUGAAUGAAUAAUGGGGAAGUUUCAGACUAAAGAAAGAAACAUAAUAAAAAAUCAGCCUGUACCAGUGGAGUAGUUCAAACUUUUUAGCUUUAAACUAGAUAAUGCAGUGCCUUUCUACUACAUAAAAUGCUCAACAAAAACCCAUUAAGAAGGAAGUCAUAGUAUGAAUCUACAAUCAUUGACUCCAAAAAUCAUCUUCAAACCUGGGGUCAUUCAGAGGAGUAUGAUAGGACAAUGAAUUGGAAGAGACAAUGAAGAAAGCUAGAGUCUGGAUAGAAGACUCAGGGCUGCUGAUCAGUGGAUUGGCAUUGGAGAUGUCAUAAACUUGGGGUGGGCAGGAUUUGGCAAUUGAAAUAAUGUAGUGGUAGAGACAGGAAAGGAUUGGAUACAGAGUAUCCAGGUAGAAGGAUUGGAUUCCUCUCCAUUUAUGAUUUUAGACUUGAUCAAUAUGACAAAGAAUAUACUGUUAAAUUUUGUAAAUCUAAUGCCCUCGCUAUUGUAAUGUACUGCUUAAAGGAUCAUCCCUUUUUUGGACAUGGAACCAUCAGGUUGAGCGAGAAAUUCCUUACAGAAUUGUUUUCUUGGGACACAGCUUUAGCAUAAUAACACAUAGUUUAUUUUUAAUGCACUUCUAUUUAAUUCAUAUGGAAUUCAGUCAAAAAAUAGCUCCAAAGAUAGAUAGCAUGGGAUUUUAUAUGGUGGAAGUAUCUUGGAAGUCACCCAAGAGGCUUUAUUAAUAAAUGGUAGAGAAAGUUUUCAUUUUAAAUACAAGUCCAAAAAGACAGCAGUCAAGCAAGCAUUAUGAUUAAUCAGGAUAAAUGCUGAAUGUUAUAAAUGUUGACAGAAAGGUUUUAUUUUUUUAAAAAAAAAGUAAAAAAAGUUUUAUUUUUCCUUCUUUUUAGUUUAAUUAAGAAAAAGAAAAUUGAAUCAGGGCUAAUAGAAUGAUCCCCUAUUCUGGAUGGUGCACUUAUCUUGUAGAACAUUCAUUUAAAAAACCAAUCAACCAGACAAAAGUAUUGUACAAUCUAGGCUACUUACUAACUGCAAAGAAAUACUUAUUUCUAUCUCCCCAAGGAAAGACAUCAGGAACUUCUCUGGAAUGCUAUAUGAGGACUGAAAGCUGUCUCUGAGUUACAGCUGGUUUCAUCAACUUGAGACAUAGAGUUGACAUUUAUCAAAAGCUUUCUGGCUUCCAACAUGAAAAUUUCUAGAUAAUGUUCAGCCUAGAAAGUGGAAGAUUAAACUUCAAUGUUUCCUGUGAAAAUAAACCUUCAUUAAAAAAAUAAUUACCAAACACCUACUGUGCCAGGCUCUGCAGUAAGCAUCAGAGACACAGCACCCAGCAGAGAAGGAGCCCUAUGAGGUCUCUGUCAUCCUGGAACUUAGUCCUGACCUCCAACAUAAAGCCAGUCCUUUCAUUUAAAGAUGGAAUUGGUUGGAACACAAAGGAAACACCAGUACAAUUCAUAACUACGGAAACCUCCACAGAGCAAUGGAACACAGCUACAUUCCUGCACCUGGAAUGUCUGGUUUCAUGAGCAUCCAGAAGGAAGCGGGUGUGAAACUGAUCACCAACAUGUACAUUCUAAUUAAAUUCAGUCACAUUGCUAAAGCUGAGGACUCACAGAAUGGUUAUAAUGUACUUAUUUAAAAAAUAAAAUUUUAUUCUAAAAUAAUUCAAAUGAGAAGGAAACCAGGCAUAUGACUGUAAGUUAGUACUUAGCAAUCUAAUGAGUGAAGAGUUCUUAAAUAUAACAAUAGUCAAAACAGAAACAAUGAAAAACUUAGACUUUUUUGUUCAUAUUUGUCAAUUAAAACUGAUCAUAAACCAUUUUAAUCUUCUAACCAGUGUCUGUUAUAAUUUUGUCCAUUUUUUCAAUGGCAAAGAUUCCUAUUUAGAGUUCCUUCUUAUUCAAGGGGAUUGCUAGCUUUGUUUUCAAACUGAAAAUAACUUUAUUGUUUUGUGAUUAUAAAAAUGGGUAAAAGUAACAAAUGUUCAUAUAGUGUUUUAGCAAUACAUAAGUUCUGCAAUACUUAAAAGUGUGAAGAACAUGAAAUACAAGUAUAGCCAUCACUCAGUAUCCAUGGGGAAUUGGUUCCAGAAUCUUCCUUGGAUACCAAAAUUUGUAGAUGCUCAAGUCCCUCAUAUAACAUGGUGUAGUAUUUGCAUAUGACUUCCUGUAUACUUUAAAUCGGCUCUAGAUUACAUAUAAUACCCACUACGAUAUACCCACUACAAUACAGAUGCUAUCUAAAUAGUUGUUAUUUUGUAUUCUUUAGGGAAUAAUGACAAGAAAAAAAAUGGUCUGUAUAAGGUUCAGUACAGAUGUAAUUUUUUCCCCUUAAUUAUUUUCAAUCCAUGGUUGGUUGAAUCCAUGGAUAUGGAACCCAUGGAUACAGAGGGCUGAUUGUACUAACAAUUCUACUAGCCUUAAUAACAGCAUUAUUUGUUGAAUAUUCACUGUGCUGGAUAUUGCAGUAAAUGAUUUACAUGUACUAUUUCAUUUAUGCCUCACAAUUAAUGAGAGAAGUACUAUUAUGACCCCCCUUUGGUGGGAAAACUAUAGUUUAGAGAUGUAACUUUUGCACGAGGCUGUGUAACUGGUUGUUUCAGGGAUUCUUAACCAGGGGUCCCUGUAUAGAAUUCGUGGGGUCUGUGAGCCUGGA